RNAcentral lists this ribosomal RNA (305 nucleotides) under uncultured bacterium. RNAcentral's name for it is "bacterial SSU rRNA". It matches the Rfam family "Bacterial small subunit ribosomal RNA", at positions 337 to 641 of the family's 1533-position model. The record is from RNAcentral.
GCCUACGGGACGCAGCAGUGGGGAAUAUUGCACAAUGGGGGAAACCCUGAUGCAGCGACGCCGCGUGAGUGAAGAAGUAAUUCGUUACGUAAAGCUCUAUCAGCAGGGAAGAAACACUGACCUUACGGUCAGUAGACGGUACCUGAGUAAGAAGCCCCGGCUAACUACGUGCCAGCAGCCGCGGUAAUACGUAGGUGGCAAGCGUUGUCCGGAUUUACUGGGUGUAAAGGGCGUGCAGCCGGAGAGACAAGUCAGAUGUGAAAUCCACGGGCUCAACCCGUGAACUGCAUUUGAAACUGUUUCCC